GCAUAUCAAUAAGCGGAGGAAAAGAAAAUAACAAUGAUUCCUCUAGUAACUGCGAGUGAAGAGGGAUAAGCUCAAAUUUUAAAUCUGUUUUGGUUUUACCAUGCAGAGUUGUAAUUUGAAGAAACGUUUUCUGUGUCUUGAAUUAAUUAAAAUCCCCUGGAAUGGGGUAUCAGUGAGGGUGACAGUCCCGUUCAUGGGUAAUUUUUAAGACGCUUUAUGAUACGUUUUCGAAGAGUCGAGUUGUUUGGGAUUGCAGCUCAAAAUGGGAGGUAAAUUUCUCCUAAGGCUAAAUAUUGGCGAGAGACCGAUAGCGAACAAGUACCGUGAGGGAAAGAUGAAAAGAACUUUGAAAAGAGAGUUAAACAGUACGUGAAAUUGUUGAAAGGGAAACGAUUGAAGUCAGUCGUACCGACGAGAAAUCAGCUCUUUGAGUGCGAACUUGUGGGCGUGCGUGAGCUUUACGGUCUCGCUGUUUGCAAUGUUUGUUCUUUUUGGGUGUACUUUUUCGUAUGGUAGGCCAACAUCAGUUUCGAAUAUCAUAAAAAGAUCGGAGGAAUGUAGCUUCGAUUUCGUAUUGAAGUGUUAUAGCCUUUGGUAAAUGUGAUGCUCAAGAUCGAGGAUUGCAACGAAUAUCCUUUUGGGCUAUUCGUCUGAUCUCUGAUACGUGGCCUUGGUAUCGAAAGCGUGCUUACGGUAUUAAGGUAUUACGGUCAAAAGGUUAGAACGGAUUACAUUCGUUAAGGAUGUUGACGUA
This 754-nucleotide ribosomal RNA is filed under the name uncultured Glomerales. Its description in RNAcentral is "LSU rRNA". It matches the Rfam family "Eukaryotic large subunit ribosomal RNA", at positions 38 to 633 of the family's 3401-position model. Lineage: Eukaryota; Fungi; Glomeromycota; Glomeromycetes; Glomerales; Glomeraceae. The record is from RNAcentral.